Molecule: non-coding RNA, 29 nt
Filed under: Homo sapiens (human)
Lineage: Eukaryota; Metazoa; Chordata; Mammalia; Primates; Hominidae
Source: RNAcentral
UGGGUGUUUCUCGCAGAGGGGGAUUUGGC